UGGGGAAUAUUGCACAAUGGACGCAAGCCUGAUGCAGCCAUGCCGCGUGUGUGAAGAAGGCCUUCGGGUUGUAAAGCACUUUCAGCGAGGAGGAAGGUGGUGAGCUUAAUACGCUCAUCAAUUGACGUUACUCGCAGAAGAAGCACCGGCUAACUCCGUGCCAGCAGCCGCGGUAAUACGGAGGGUGCAAGCGUUAAUCGGAAUUACUGGGCGUAAAGAGCACGCAGGCGGUUUGUUAAGUCAGAUGUGAAAUCCCCGGGCUCAACCUGGGAACUGCAUUUGAAACUGGCAAGCUAGAGUCUCGUAGAGGGGGGUAGAAUUCCAGGUGUAGCGGUGAAAUGCGUAGAGAUCUGGAGGAAUACCGGUGGCGAAGGCGGCCCCCCUGGACGAAGACUGACGCUCAGGUGCGAAAAGCGUGGGGCAGCAAACAGGAUUAGAUACCCUGGUAGUCCACGCUGUAAACGAUGUCGAUUUGGAGGUUGUGCCCUUGAGGCGUGGCUUCCGGAGCUAACGCGUUAAAUCGACCGCCUGGGGAGUACGGCCGCAAGGUUAAAACUUAAAGGAAUUGA
This 569-nucleotide ribosomal RNA is filed under the name uncultured bacterium. Its description in RNAcentral is "partial 16S ribosomal RNA". It matches the Rfam family "Bacterial small subunit ribosomal RNA", at positions 355 to 913 of the family's 1533-position model. The record is from RNAcentral.